RNAcentral lists this ribosomal RNA (253 nucleotides) under uncultured bacterium. RNAcentral describes it as "partial 16S ribosomal RNA". It matches the Rfam family "Bacterial small subunit ribosomal RNA", at positions 524 to 776 of the family's 1533-position model. The record is from RNAcentral.
UACGAAGGGGGCGAGCGUUGCCCGGAAUCACUGGGCGUAAAGGGUGCGUAGGCGGCAAGGUAAGUUGCUGGUUAAAGCCCGGGGCUCAACCUCGGAAAGGCCAGCAAUACUGCCUUGCUUGAGGGCCGGAGAGGCUGGCGGAAUUCCCGGUGUAGGGGUGAAAUCCGUAGAUAUCGGGAGGAACACCGGUGGGGAAGUCGGCCAGCUGGACGGUUCCUGACGCUGAGGCACGAAAGCGUGGGGAGCAAACAGG